RNAcentral lists this small nuclear RNA (197 nucleotides) under Ophiophagus hannah (king cobra). RNAcentral's name for it is "7SK RNA". It matches the Rfam family "7SK RNA", at positions 1 to 199 of the family's 331-position model. Rfam says of the family: 7SK was discovered as an abundant small nuclear RNA in the mid-70s but a possible function has only recently been suggested. Two independent studies have found that 7SK RNA binds the CDK9/cyclin T complex (known as elongation factor P-TEFb). Lineage: Eukaryota; Metazoa; Chordata; Lepidosauria; Squamata; Elapidae. The record is from Rfam by way of RNAcentral.
GGAUGAAAGGGCAAACUGGCUGUGACAUCUGUCACCCUGUUGUUUGCCAAUAUUGAUCUGUCAGAUGUGGUAGGCUACAUUGGUGUCUGUCCCUUAGCAUUUCAUGUGUGUCCCUUCCGAAGUUGUUUGCUCAAUGGAAGUUGAAAACCAUGCCAGACAAAAGGAGCAUAUAAAUUUUUGGUCAAGGGUAUAUAGAU